CUUGUAUGGAUAACGAAAAGGCAAUCAAGAAGCUCCAUUAGACGGAGCGAGGGAGAGAUUCGAGCGGCAUUGUCUGCCGGCAGCGAUGAGGACGGAUUGUCUGGUUCCGGCCCCAAAGGAAUACCAGAAACCAAUGCCCUGGCCCCAAAACAGAGAUGAAGUUGAUGGUUCCAGAUAUUGCAUUUGGUAAUCACACGAGUUGCCCCAGAUGUUGGUUGUGGCGUAGCAAGCUUCGGUGCCGUUCUACUCUCGUGCAAUGUUUUGCAACACACUGGUUGCCAUAUCCAAGCCAGGCAUUUGACCUAAUUCAUCGUUCAAGAUGUAGAACCAACUCCACUCCUCGACGGUGCAACAUUUAGGGCAUCCCAUGCUUAUGUUCGUGAUUCAAGAUACGCAUGGAAGAUAUUUUAGGUAUUGCACAGACCACGGGAUACUGUUCAAGGUCCAUUACUGUGCGCCUUCCCCUAAGAGUUGUGCAGCUUGUUACAUAUCUAUUCUCUUAAAUUCGUUUUGCUUCUUCCUGCAACGUUUUUAUGGGCAACCGAGCUAAAAUGGGUGCAGGCUCUUUCUGAUCUCUCUGUCAGCCAAGCUCCCAAGUGGUGGUUUUGUCGUAGCAGCUAUACCUGUUCUUAUCCAAGUCAACCCAUGGAUAGAACUGCUGCAUCAUCCAGUUCAGUCAUUACAUCACUUCUGCAGUAUGUUUGAAGCUUCCCGAGCGAAAUCAACCAUGGCCGCUGUGCCAGCUCAGUCUGAUACAGAGACAGGAGCUCAAGGUAAAAGGUUUCAAUCACCAUGUCCGACCACUUGCCUUAAUAAUAAUCUCCACUCUUUGUUUCACAUCAUGUAAGGUAUAUGAGCAUUGUUGUUGUUUUCCACAUGUUUCCGCAUGCCGUACCAAAUCGACGGAGACCUUCACCUUCUUUUUUUUCUUGGGCAGAGACAGAUUCCUGCAUUUAAGGCGGGUCAGAGGAACACGCGUCUCAGUUAGUCCAAGUAGAUCCCGAAGAUAGAUCAGGUCAAUGCAGACGCUGUUGCUGUGUUGCAAGAUUAGCAACAAGAUGCAGAGGAACUCGCGUGUCUUAGUUAGUCCAAGAAGUUCCGGAAGAGAGAUUAGGUCAAUGCAUCAGUACAAUGCUAAGAUGAAGAGCAUGCGGUAUAUGCUGCAGUCAUCCACAAGCACACAUCGUCUCCACAAGAGCAAACUGGUACACGAGCUUUACUCGUUCUCAGUCCAACUUGAUCAUAAGAAAGUGUGAUUCUACUAACCAACACCAAUGAUCCUUCAAAAUCCUAUCUUUAUAUAUAGCUACGUAUCUCUGGUCCUUUCGCCGUCGUCUUGCAGCAGUGUGUCGCAUUCAUUCCCUUUGAUUAAAGCGUGGGACCUAUGACACCACCUACUCUCCCCACCAUAAACAACUCAUUACCUUGAUACUAUAUUUCAACUCUCAGAACUCGGUGUUCUCAGAUGAGAUCAGCACAGUCGAGGAAGAAGAAUCUCCACCAACUGGGACAGCCAACUGCGAGCAGUAACAACAACAAGUGCAAUUCAUGUCACAUUCUUCCAUAUACAUAUCUUACAGCCACUGGCAAUCUUUGUCGUUUCAAGGAAAUCAGUAAAUGAGAUGAUACAUACUUGUUUGAUCCAAUUGAAUCGGUAGAGGAUGAAGGAGUUUAAGAUCAUCCACACAAUGCCUUGACCAGCAAUCAUGAUGAUCUGAUCAAGGUUGGUUGAUAAUAUCUGGAUUCGCAGUACCUGUGUGAUUUGAAUAAUCUGAAUGAUUGAGUGUUAAUGGCAUGCGUGAGACAAAUAGGACGCUUCAAAAAGGACAGUCAUGCUUUACAUUGUUUCCAUCUACAUUUCAAAAUACCACUACUAAUACCUCGGUAUUAAGUAACCCUCUGUACGAGACAAAUAGGACACUCAUGCUUUGCAUUGUUUCCAUCUCCAUUUCAAAUACCACUCAUCAUGAAACCUCAGAUACAUGUCCCCAUCAAUCUCUCACUGCUACCAACCAGUCACCCCUGGCUAGUAAUAGUAUGACACAUUGGUAUUUUAAUCUGUAUGCAAAAUUGGAUCUUCAAACACUGUUGUUUAACUUCAGAUUAUACUGUUAAUAACUGUUGUUCUCCACUUUGGAGAGGGAAAGAAAACUCGAAACCUAAAAAGAAAAACCCUCAAAGAUCAACAAAUAAAUAAUAUAUUAUAAAAAUUUU
Molecule: long non-coding RNA, 2214 nt
Organism: Musa acuminata AAA Group (dessert banana)
Lineage: Eukaryota; Viridiplantae; Streptophyta; Magnoliopsida; Zingiberales; Musaceae
Exons: 4
Source: RefSeq, a predicted model, not a curated record